RNAcentral lists this non-coding RNA (98 nucleotides) under uncultured Siminovitchia sp. Its description in RNAcentral is "TPP riboswitch (THI element)". It matches the Rfam family "TPP riboswitch aptamer (THI element)", at positions 9 to 90 of the family's 105-position model. Rfam says of the family: Vitamin B(1) in its active form thiamin pyrophosphate (TPP) is an essential coenzyme that is synthesised by coupling of pyrimidine and thiazole moieties in bacteria. The previously detected thiamin-regulatory element, thi box was extended, resulting in a new, highly conserved RNA secondary structure, the THI element, which is widely distributed in eubacteria and also occurs in some archaea. Lineage: Bacteria; Bacillati; Bacillota; Bacilli; Caryophanales; Bacillaceae. The record is from RNAcentral.
AGUGGGGGAACCGGUGAUGCCGGUUGAGAUUGCAUUCAGAAAAAAUGCUGACCCUUUGAACCUGAUCUGGCUAAUACCAGCGAAGGGAACGUCAAAUU